GGCUUCCUCCUCCCCCACAGCCCCAGUGUCUUUAGUUCCAUCUCUUCACAGUUCCUCCACUUUCAUUUUUCCACACGAAAGAAAAGGUCUUGGAGAGGACUCCGACCAGGACUAAGGUCCUGGCAGCUUGCAGAAGGCAUUUGAAGUUAAAGUUGCUUUCUUCCCACCUCUUCUCCCCUUCUGUUUCCUUCCUUCAGAAAAUUAUCUACUCUGAUUUGGGAUUCAGUUUUAUGAAUGGAAGAAGGUACAGCAGAUGAAUCCGGGAAGCUGAGGGACUGGAGCAGAUCAUUGGGCAACACUAGUUAAAAACAGGAGACUUCAGGACAUUUAUGGCUUCCUGACCGAGUUCCUUGUAAGUCAGACAAGUCUGAUACAGGCUUCCAGGUUUCCCUCCCUUGCGUACACUAUUGCUGAGCAUCCAACAUGGGGACGAUGCUCACAAAGAACAGCCCUGGUUUGGUCGUCUGGAGAAUCAAAGAGCUGAGCGGGGAAAAAACCGUGAGUCCCAUAGACGGCGGACUGGUGGGACUUCACCAGAUAAAACACAAGCAGUCAUUCACACCCAUCACGUGGAAGUUCACGUGUGUCAGAUUACCCAAAACAAGAAUGAAGCCCAGGUGAUGGUACUACCUAAUGUGAUGGAAUCACUGAGACCAGAGAAGACCUCCACAGAGGGUGUUGAGAUUCAAUCCAUUCUAGGUAUUCCAGAGGUUGUUUCUGGAUCCUGGUGACUGAAACAUCUGCAAAUGUUGCUGAUCCUGUUGGAGAGAUCACAGUAGGGAUUGAGGUUCAACGUACUGGGCUAGAUUUACAGUGUGAGGAUGAAGCGCCUUCUGAGGCAUGUAAGAUGGAUGUUGUAGGACAAGAUUUUGGUAGCAUCCCUGAGAACAGUAAAGAAUCUUCUGUUCUGGAGACUCCAUUGCACUCUACCAUGGUGUCUGAAGAAGAUGUCCCUCUGAAGGUCCCUGACAUUGUGAGUCCAGUGUGCAAGAAGGAAGGUGCAUUGUGGGAAGCAACGGAAGACCCUCAUUCCCCUCUUAACACUUCUGCUGAGGACGAACCAACUCCAGAUGGCCAGAAGGUUUCUGGUGAAAUGGAGCUUAAGCUUGAUCCAGAGAUGCAAGUAAGGGUUGCUGAACAUGACACAGUUGUGCAAAGUCAAGUUCAUGAUGCGUCCUCUUAAGAGGCCCUGGGGACAGCUGAAAAUCAUCCCAACUUACCAUCCGCAGAUACAUCAGCUGGCCCAGUAUCAAGGCACCUCAAGGAACAAGGAGAGUGACUUGAGACACCGCAGCGUGAACAUCCCAUAGCAAAGACCAAGUCCUGUUCAUAGAGCCCAGCUUUGCGUUGCAGAAAUGAGAAUCUCAAAAUGUAACAACUUCCAUUUUAUUGCUUCUGUGGAAUCCACAGGGAUCCGAUUCCCCUGUUGAAAAGAAGUCCGUAAUUUUUAGUCCGUGGCAGCUGAAACAAGCUUUCUCCAAAAAUGAAAUUGUAUCACUGGUAGAGAAAACCUGUGGUGUAUCUAGAAGGGUUCUUUGUAUUUUCUGUUCACUGCAUUCUCUCAGACUGUUCACUCUGGCUAUGGAAAGUAAUUGAUCACUAGGUGGCAUAGAACUAAAUUAUCUUAAUCACUGUUAUUUAAUAUAUUCCACUUGAGCUCACUUGGACUGACUCACUUACCUGCUUGUGUUAAUCCUUGCAAGGGUCAUGGUCUUGAGUUUAAAUUAAUCAAUGGGACAAUCCUCAGAGUUCUAUAGUGCUUAUAGAACUGCAAUGAUGAACUAUGGUACUUUUAAAACAGUGUCAAUAAAGACAGUCUUGUUUUACAUUA
Heteronotia binoei (common prickly gecko) is the source of this 1831-nucleotide long non-coding RNA. RefSeq lists it as uncharacterized. The transcript is spliced from 2 exons. NCBI's taxonomy places the organism in Eukaryota, Metazoa, Chordata, Lepidosauria, Squamata, Gekkonidae. The record is from RefSeq and is a predicted model, not a curated record.